RNAcentral lists this ribosomal RNA (323 nucleotides) under uncultured eukaryote. RNAcentral's name for it is "partial 18S ribosomal RNA". It matches the Rfam family "Eukaryotic small subunit ribosomal RNA", at positions 1470 to 1796 of the family's 1831-position model. The record is from RNAcentral.
CCCUUAGACGUUCUGGGCCGCACGCGCGCUACACUGACGGAGCCAGCGAGUAUAAACCUUGGCCGAGAGGUCUGGGAAAUCUUGUGAAACUCCGUCGUGCUGGGGAUAGAGCAUUGUAAUUAUUGCUCUUCAACGAGGAAUUCCUAGUAAGCGCAAGUCAUCAGCUUGCGUUGAUUACGUCCCUGCCCUUUGUACACACCGCCCGUCGCUCCUACCGAUUGAGCGAUCCGGUGAAUGUUUUGGACUGGCGUCAGAAGCGGUUCGCUCCUGACACUACGAAAUUUUGUAAACCUUAUCGCUUAGAGGAAGGAAAAGUCGUAACA